RNAcentral lists this ribosomal RNA (76 nucleotides) under Botryosphaeria dothidea. RNAcentral's name for it is "partial 28S ribosomal RNA". It matches the Rfam family "Eukaryotic large subunit ribosomal RNA", at positions 1 to 75 of the family's 3401-position model. The record is from RNAcentral. Lineage: Eukaryota; Fungi; Ascomycota; Dothideomycetes; Botryosphaeriales; Botryosphaeriaceae.
UUGACCUCGGAUCAGGUAGGGAUACCCGCUGAACUUAAGCAUAUCAAUAAGCGGGAGGAAAGAAACCAACAGGGAU